Mesocricetus auratus (golden hamster) is the source of this 2009-nucleotide long non-coding RNA. RefSeq lists it as uncharacterized. The transcript has 3 exons. The record is from RefSeq and is a predicted model, not a curated record. Lineage: Eukaryota; Metazoa; Chordata; Mammalia; Rodentia; Cricetidae.
CCGUACAAAAUCUGAGUUCCAUUUGUUUCUUAGGAACUUAGGGCUGCCUGCAUACACGUCAGAAGCAUUUCAUCACCAAGGAUACUCUAAACUAAAUAGACUUCAAAUAGCAUUUCAAGUGGCUCAGAAUACCACAGGACAUUUUUAGUAGCAGCAAUGCUUCACUGAGCGGUGGUUUUUUGUAGGGAAAUCUUCUAAGGCCUCAAAAGGGGGAAUUCUGUUGAUGACUGGCGUGUGUUGCUCGGGACAAGCGAGCCAGACAAAGAGGGGGAGAUUUGAAGAGUCAGCAAGUAUGUCAUGGAAAAUAGACUUUGAACACCAAGGUGAAGGGGGUGAGGUCUUCUUUCUGAGAAUUUCAUACCUGUACUUAAUGAAAUACAAUCUUAUCUACCCCGAUUUUCCCACUGUAUUGUCUCCUAUAUUCCCCCAUAACUCCCUGUGCAUGCGUGUGGUUGAGGCAACCCACUGCAGCUUGGUGAAGCUACCGGCGUCCAUGUCCCCAGUUAAGAACCAUUCUCCCUACCCCUUGCCUGUGCCUGCCACCAACAGCAACUCAGUAUAGGGAGGGGCCCGGGGGCCAUCUACAUCGCCUCUGCCUGGCUUCUGGCUGGGCUUGAUCUCAGAGAACACGCUGCUGUGAAAUCAUGAUGGCGGCAGACACCCCGUGUCCAGAAGACCGAGCUUCCCAGCGCCUUCCCCACUUCCCUCAGGGCUGUGCCCCGAGCCUCGGUGGUGUGGGGUUGGGGGUUAAAUAUAGAUGUCCUAUUUAGCGCUGAGACUUCAGUCUUAUUCUAGCUCGCUGAUCAGCCAUGCAUCUCUUCCACUGACAGCUGUCCACUGGAAAAAAAAAUGAAGCUUCCCUGACCAAGGUUGAUACCACCUAGGCCCUCCGGUGCCAUUUUUGGUUCAAAUUAGUCUUGACAUCUCUUCUUGGGAGCUGACAACCCCCAGCAGUCAGCAGGUCGGCAUUGUGGGGGUUCUGGCCUUGUACCAUGCUUUCUAAAAUCUACUUACUUACCCUUUUUAUAAUUUUAAAUUUGUAUUAGUUUGUUGAGAAUGUGUUAGUUUUUGCAGUGGACAGUUGGGAGCCAGCUUAGGAUGCUUCUCCACACCUCUAAUGUCGUUUCCCACAAAGAAAAACAUUUUCUUUAGGAAAGGAGCAGCCUUGAAAUGAGACUAGAGACACCUGAAUGUAAGCAGGGGACAUCAGAGCAAGUGGUCGGGUCCAGGCCAGGUGCCCGCACCUCCUGAUUCUUUGUCUCCUCUGGGCGCUAUUUCGUGAACAUCAGACUAGCACAGGCUGCUAGAAAUAUAAACCCAAGCACACAUUCUCCACUCGCUGCGACAGAGCUUCGUUAACCAUGGAAACAACACAGGGAAGAUGACUCCCUGCAGCCCCCUUUUCGCUAUAACCCGCCUCCAGAUAAAAUCCAUCCACAUUUGGCGCCAGCACGGUCAAAUAUUGCUCUCAGAGAUGGAGAGGACAGGGCUGCAUUUCUAAGAGUCGUUCUCAGACUGGACCCAUGGUAGAAGAAGAUGAAAGAACGGUGAAGACAAAGGAAUUUGAUGAAAACGGGGAUGAAUCUCACACUCAAUCCUGUACUGAGUCAGAGACCAUUGUGCCUCACAGAAAAGGAAAGAAAAACAUUUUCUUUCUGUGCUGCAAAUAGGAAAGGGCACCGCAUAUUUUCUUCCCGUAAAACAAAGAGUUCCAUAAAACGAGCGGUCAAUUCCCUUGCAAAGCCCACAGGCCUGUUUCAGAUUUAAGAGGAAACGAGCACCGUAGCUACUCCCGGGCCACUGUGGCAGGGUUCUACUGACACAGAAUGGAAACAGAGACAUUAAAGUGACAGCUAGCCUGCACAGGGGGGGACAGCCCAGAAAUUGUGUAGAUGGGGGUAGGGAGCUAAAGGAGGUGACACAUAAAAAGCUGUGUCUGUGUCACACACACACACACAUACACACACACACACGCACGCACACACACACACGCACGCACACACACACGC